Molecule: non-coding RNA, 280 nt
Filed under: Plasmodium yoelii yoelii
Lineage: Eukaryota; Apicomplexa; Aconoidasida; Haemosporida; Plasmodiidae
Description: Bacterial RNase P class A
Rfam family: Bacterial RNase P class A
About the family: Ribonuclease P (RNase P) is a ubiquitous endoribonuclease, found in archaea, bacteria and eukarya as well as chloroplasts and mitochondria. Its best characterised activity is the generation of mature 5'-ends of tRNAs by cleaving the 5'-leader elements of precursor-tRNAs.
Source: Rfam by way of RNAcentral
ACGCCUGGGGGGCGCGAGCCCACGAAGUGCCCAGAAAAUAUACCGCCCCGGUGCGUCCGGGGUAAGGGUGAAAAGGUGCGGUAAGAGCGCACCGCGCUGGCGGUAACGCCAAGCGGCAGGGUAAACCCCAUCCGGAGCAAGACCAAAUAGGGGAGCAUUGGGUUCGCCCAGACGUGCGGCCCGCACGGCUCCCGGGUAGGUCGCUCGAGACGUACGGUGACGUAUGUCCCAGAUGAAUGGCUGUCCACGACAGAACCCGGCUUACCGGCCGACUCUUCUU